This 352-nucleotide ribosomal RNA is filed under the name uncultured bacterium. RNAcentral describes it as "bacterial SSU rRNA". It matches the Rfam family "Bacterial small subunit ribosomal RNA", at positions 1037 to 1390 of the family's 1533-position model. The record is from RNAcentral.
GGUGGUGCAUGGUUGUCGUCAGCUCGUGUCGUGAGAUGUUGGGUUAAGUCCCGCAACGAGCGCAACCCUUAUUCUUAGUUGCCAUCAUUUAGUUGGGCACUCUAAGGAGACUGCCGGUGACAAACCGGAGGAAGGUGGGGAUGACGUCAAAUCAUCACGCCUCUUAUGACCUGGGCUACACACGUGCUACAAUGGACGAUACAAAGAGUCGCAAACUCGCGAGGGUAAGCUAAUCUCAUAAAAUCGUUCUCAGUUCGGAUUGUAGGCUGCAACUCACCUGCAUGAAGCCGGAAUCGCUAGUAAUCGCGGAUCAGCAUGCCGCGGUGAAUACGUUCCCGGGUCUUGUACACAC